GACGGAGGAUGCAAGUGUUAUCCGGAAUCACUGGGCGUAAAGCGUCUGUAGGUGGUCAGAUAAGUCAACUGUUAAAUCUUGAGGCUCAACCUCAAAAUCGCAGUCGAAACUAUUAGACUAGAGUAUAGUAGGGGUAAAGGGAAUUUCCAGUGGAGCGGUGAAAUGCGUAGAGAUUGGAAAGAACACCGAUGGCGAAGGCACUUUACUGGGCUAUUACUAACACUCAGAGACGAAAGCUAGGGUAGCAAAUGGG
Molecule: ribosomal RNA, 253 nt
Filed under: uncultured bacterium
Lineage: Bacteria
Description: partial 16S ribosomal RNA
Rfam family: Bacterial small subunit ribosomal RNA
Source: RNAcentral